RNAcentral lists this ribosomal RNA (2772 nucleotides) under Escherichia coli. RNAcentral's name for it is "partial 23S ribosomal RNA". It matches the Rfam family "Bacterial large subunit ribosomal RNA". The record is from RNAcentral. Lineage: Bacteria; Pseudomonadati; Pseudomonadota; Gammaproteobacteria; Enterobacterales; Enterobacteriaceae.
GGUUAAGCGACUAAGCGUACACGGUGGAUGCCCUGGCAGUCAGAGGCGAUGAAGGACGUGCUAAUCUGCGAUAAGCGUCGGUAAGGUGAUAUGAACCGUUAUAACCGGCGAUUUCCGAAUGGGGAAACCCAGUGUGUUUCGACACACUAUCAUUAACUGAAUCCAUAGGUUAAUGAGGCGAACCGGGGGAACUGAAACAUCUAAGUACCCCGAGGAAAAGAAAUCAACCGAGAUUCCCCCAGUAGCGGCGAGCGAACGGGGAGCAGCCCAGAGCCUGAAUCAGUGUGUGUGUUAGUGGAAGCGUCUGGAAAGGCGCGCGAUACAGGGUGACAGCCCCGUACACAAAAAUGCACAUGCUGUGAGCUCGAUGAGUAGGGCGGGACACGUGGUAUCCUGUCUGAAUAUGGGGGGACCAUCCUCCAAGGCUAAAUACUCCUGACUGACCGAUAGUGAACCAGUACCGUGAGGGAAAGGCGAAAAGAACCCCGGCGAGGGGAGUGAAAAAGAACCUGAAACCGUGUACGUACAAGCAGUGGGAGCACGCUUAGGCGUGUGACUGCGUACCUUUUGUAUAAUGGGUCAGCGACUUAUAUUCUGUAGCAAGGUUAACCGAAUAGGGGAGCCGAAGGGAAACCGAGUCUUAACUGGGCGUUAAGUUGCAGGGUAUAGACCCGAAACCCGGUGAUCUAGCCAUGGGCAGGUUGAAGGUUGGGUAACACUAACUGGAGGACCGAACCGACUAAUGUUGAAAAAUUAGCGGAUGACUUGUGGCUGGGGGUGAAAGGCCAAUCAAACCGGGAGAUAGCUGGUUCUCCCCGAAAGCUAUUUAGGUAGCGCCUCGUGAAUUCAUCUCCGGGGGUAGAGCACUGUUUCGGCAAGGGGGUCAUCCCGACUUACCAACCCGAUGCAAACUGCGAAUACCGGAGAAUGUUAUCACGGGAGACACACGGCGGGUGCUAACGUCCGUCGUGAAGAGGGAAACAACCCAGACCGCCAGCUAAGGUCCCAAAGUCAUGGUUAAGUGGGAAACGAUGUGGGAAGGCCCAGACAGCCAGGAUGUUGGCUUAGAAGCAGCCAUCAUUUAAAGAAAGCGUAAUAGCUCACUGGUCGAGUCGGCCUGCGCGGAAGAUGUAACGGGGCUAAACCAUGCACCGAAGCUGCGGCAGCGACGCUUAUGCGUUGUUGGGUAGGGGAGCGUUCUGUAAGCCUGUGAAGGUGUACUGUGAGGUAUGCUGGAGGUAUCAGAAGUGCGAAUGCUGACAUAAGUAACGAUAAAGCGGGUGAAAAGCCCGCUCGCCGGAAGACCAAGGGUUCCUGUCCAACGUUAAUCGGGGCAGGGUGAGUCGACCCCUAAGGCGAGGCCGAAAGGCGUAGUCGAUGGGAAACAGGUUAAUAUUCCUGUACUUGGUGUUACUGCGAAGGGGGGACGGAGAAGGCUAUGUUGGCCGGGCGACGGUUGUCCCGGUUUAAGCGUGUAGGCUGGUUUUCCAGGCAAAUCCGGAAAAUCAAGGCUGAGGCGUGAUGACGAGGCACUACGGUGCUGAAGCAACAAAUGCCCUGCUUCCAGGAAAAGCCUCUAAGCAUCAGGUAACAUCAAAUCGUACCCCAAACCGACACAGGUGGUCAGGUAGAGAAUACCAAGGCGCUUGAGAGAACUCGGGUGAAGGAACUAGGCAAAAUGGUGCCGUAACUUCGGGAGAAGGCACGCUGAUAUGUAGGUGAAGUCCCUCGCGGAUGGAGCUGAAAUCAGUCGAAGAUACCAGCUGGCUGCAACUGUUUAUUAAAAACACAGCACUGUGCAAACACGAAAGUGGACGUAUACGGUGUGACGCCUGCCCGGUGCCGGAAGGUUAAUUGAUGGGGUCAGCGCAAGCGAAGCUCUUGAUCGAAGCCCCGGUAAACGGCGGCCGUAACUAUAACGGUCCUAAGGUAGCGAAAUUCCUUGUCGGGUAAGUUCCGACCUGCACGAAUGGCGUAAUGAUGGCCAGGCUGUCUCCACCCGAGACUCAGUGAAAUUGAACUCGCUGUGAAGAUGCAGUGUACCCGCGGCAAGACGGAAAGACCCCGUGAACCUUUACUAUAGCUUGACACUGAACAUUGAGCCUUGAUGUGUAGGAUAGGUGGGAGGCUUUGAAGUGUGGACGCCAGUCUGCAUGGAGCCGACCUUGAAAUACCACCCUUUAAUGUUUGAUGUUCUAACGUUGACCCGUGAUCCGGGUUGCGGACAGUGUCUGGUGGGUAGUUUGACUGGGGCGGUCUCCUCCUAAAGAGUAACGGAGGAGCACGAAGGUUGGCUAAUCCUGGUCGGACAUCAGGAGGUUAGUGCAAUGGCAUAAGCCAGCUUGACUGCGAGCGUGACGGCGCGAGCAGGUGCGAAAGCAGGUCAUAGUGAUCCGGUGGUUCUGAAUGGAAGGGCCAUCGCUCAACGGAUAAAAGGUACUCCGGGGAUAACAGGCUGAUACCGCCCAAGAGUUCAUAUCGACGGCGGUGUUUGGCACCUCGAUGUCGGCUCAUCACAUCCUGGGGCUGAAGUAGGUCCCAAGGGUAUGGCUGUUCGCCAUUUAAAGUGGUACGCGAGCUGGGUUUAGAACGUCGUGAGACAGUUCGGUCCCUAUCUGCCGUGGGCGCUGGAGAACUGAGGGGGGCUGCUCCUAGUACGAGAGGACCGGAGUGGACGCAUCACUGGUGUUCGGGUUGUCAUGCCAAUGGCACUGCCCGGUAGCUAAAUGCGGAAGAGAUAAGUGCUGAAAGCAUCUAAGCACGAAACUUGCC